UACAGAGGGCGCGAGCGUUAAUCGGAAUUACUGGGCGUAAAGCGCGCGUAGGCUGUUGUGUAAGUUGGGGGUGAAAUCCCACGGCUCAACCGUGGAACAGCCCUUGAUACUGCGCGACUUGAAUCCGGGAGAGGGUGGCGGAAUUCCAGGUGUAGGAGUGAAAUCCGUAGAUAUCUGGAGGAACAUCAGUGGCGAAGGCGGCCACCUGGACCGGUAUUGACGCUGAGGCGCGAAAGCGUGGGGAGCAAACAGG
RNAcentral lists this ribosomal RNA (253 nucleotides) under uncultured bacterium. RNAcentral describes it as "partial 16S ribosomal RNA". It matches the Rfam family "Bacterial small subunit ribosomal RNA", at positions 524 to 776 of the family's 1533-position model. The record is from RNAcentral.